RNAcentral lists this ribosomal RNA (543 nucleotides) under uncultured bacterium. Its description in RNAcentral is "bacterial SSU rRNA". It matches the Rfam family "Bacterial small subunit ribosomal RNA", at positions 777 to 1319 of the family's 1533-position model. The record is from RNAcentral.
AAUAGAUACCCCGGUAGUCCACGCCGUAAACGAUGAGUGCUAAGUGUUAGGGGGUUUCCGCCCCUUAGUGCUGCAGCUAACGCAUUAAGCACUCCGCCUGAGGAGUACGGUCGCAAGACUGAAACUCAAAGGAAUUGACGGGGGCCCGCACAAGCGGUGGAGCAUGUGGUUUAAUUCGAAGCAACGCGAAGAACCUUACCAGGUCUUGACAUCCCACUGACCGCUAUGGAGACAUAGUUUUCCCUUCGGGGACAGUGGUGACAGGUGGUGCAUGGUUGUCGUCAGCUCGUGUCGUGAGAUGUUGGGUUAAGUCCCGCAACGAGCGCAACCCUUGAUCUUAGUUGCCAUCAUUUAGUUGGGCACUCUAAGGUGACUGCCGGUGACAAACCGGAGGAAGGUGGGGAUGACGUCAAAUCAUCAUGCCCCUUAUGACCUGGGCUACACACGUGCUACAAUGGACGGUACAAACGGUUGCCAACCCGCGAGGGGAGCUAAUCCGAUAAAACCGUUCUCAGUUCGGAUUGUAGGCUGCAACUCGCCUAC